AUACGUAGGGUGCAAGCGUUAAUCGGAAUUACUGGGCGUAAAGCGUGCGCAGGCGGUUUUGUAAGACAGUGGUGAAAUCCCCGGGCUCAAACUGGGAACUGCCAUUGUGACUGCAAGGCUGGAGUGCGGCAGAGGGGGAUGGAAUUCCGCGUGUAGCAGUGAAAUGCGUAGAUAUGCGGAGGAACACCGAUGGCGAAGGCAAUCCCCUGGGCCUGCACUGACGCUCAUGCACGAAAGCGUGGGGAGCAAACAGGAUUAGAUACCCUGGUAGUCCACGCCCUAAACGAUGUCAACUGGUUGUUGGGGAUUUAUUUUCUCAGUAACGAAGCUAACGCGUGAAGUUGACCGCCUGGGGAGUACGGCCGCAAGGUUAAAACUCAAAGGAAUUGACGGGG
This 395-nucleotide ribosomal RNA is filed under the name uncultured bacterium. RNAcentral describes it as "partial 16S ribosomal RNA". It matches the Rfam family "Bacterial small subunit ribosomal RNA", at positions 523 to 918 of the family's 1533-position model. The record is from RNAcentral.